This 245-nucleotide ribosomal RNA is filed under the name uncultured bacterium. RNAcentral's name for it is "partial 16S ribosomal RNA". It matches the Rfam family "Bacterial small subunit ribosomal RNA", at positions 524 to 768 of the family's 1533-position model. The record is from RNAcentral.
UACGGAGGGUGCAAGUGUUAUUCGGAAUUACUGGGCGUAGAGAGCACGUAGGCGGAUUUACAAGUCAGAUGUGAAAGCCCGAAGCUUAACUUCGGAAUUGCAUUUGAUACUGUAAGUCUUGAGUGUGGUAGAGGGGGGUGGAAUUCCCGGUGUAGAGGUGAAAUUCGUAGAUAUCGGGAGGAACACCAGAGGCGAAGGCGACCCCCUGGGCCAUAACUGACGCUGAGGUGCGAAAGCGUGGGGAG